AUUGAACGCUGGCGGCAUGCCUUACACAUGCAAGUCGAACGGCAGCAUGGAGGAGCUUGCUCCUCUGAUGGCGAGUGGCGAACGGGUGAGUAAAGCAUCGGAACGUACCGUGUAGUGGGGGAUAACGUAGCGAAAGGAGUGCUAAUACCGGAUAUGAGCCUGGAAGACAUCUUCUGGGUUGGAAAGUUUUCGGUUAGGGAUGGGCUCGCGGCCUAUCAGCUUGUUGGUGAGGUAAAGGCUCACCAAGGCGACGACGGGUAUCCGGCCUGAGAGGGCGACCGGACACACUGGGACUGAGACACGGCCCAGACUCCUACGGGAGGCAGCAGUGGGGAAUAUUGGGCAAUGGAGGAAACUCUGACCCAGCGACGCCGCGUGCGGGAUGAAGGCCUUCGGGUUGUAAACCGCUUUCAGCAGGGAAGAAGCGAAAGUGACGGUACCUGCAGAAGAAGCACCGGCUAACUAUGUG
RNAcentral lists this ribosomal RNA (469 nucleotides) under uncultured bacterium. Its description in RNAcentral is "bacterial SSU rRNA". It matches the Rfam family "Bacterial small subunit ribosomal RNA", at positions 29 to 507 of the family's 1533-position model. The record is from RNAcentral.